CAGACUUUUAUUUUCUUUUUCCUCUUUAUUGGCUUCUAAUAAAGAGGAAAGAAAAGUUGUUAUUUUUUUCUCCAAUGCUUUAAACUUUAUGUUCUCUUUAUGUUUUUACAGAGAUUGUCCUCCACCCUAGACUCAUACUUAAAGUUUCUCAAACUUAUCACUCUCUAUAUAUCUUCCUUUCAAUUACAGAAGAACCCUGACAUACUCUCAUAUUUUUGUGGUCUUUUCUCUCCCUUUCCCACAAGAUACAUAUGAAGCUAUAGGCAUGAGGCUGGAUUUUCUUCACAUACUUCAACUAAAGCAAAAUAUCGCAGAUCGAAUGCCGGAGAAGAAUAUGAGAAUAUAUUUUGCUUCUACUAGACAUUAAAAAGAUUUACAAAGAUGAAAACGCCAUGAGAUAUCAUCUAACCCCAGUAAAUAUGGCUAUUAUCAAAAAGGCAAAAAAUAACAAAUGCUGAUGAGAAUGUGGAAAAAAAGGAAAUGCUAAUACACUGUUGGUGGGAAUGUAAAUUGGUAUAGCCACUAUGGAAAACAGUAUGAAGUUUCCUGAAAAAAUUAAAAAUAGAAAUUACUAUAUGAUUUGGGUAUAUAUGCAAAAGAAAGGAAAUAAGUAUAACAAAGAGAUAUAUGCACUCUCAUGUUAAUUGCAGCACUAUUCAUAAUAGGCAAGAUGUGAAAUCAACCUAAGUGUCCACUAAUUAAUAAAUGGAUAAAGAAAAUAAGAUAUAUAUACACAAUGGAAUAUUAGCCAUAAAAAAGAAUGAAAUUCUGUCAUUUGCAACAACGUAAGUGAAACUAGAAUACAUUCUGUUAAGUGAAUAAGUUACGCAUAGAAAGAUAAAUAUGGCAUAUUCUCACUCAUAUAUGGGAGCUAAAAAAGUUGAUCUCAUAGAAGUAAAGAGUAGAAUAAUGGUUGCUAGAGUCUGGGCUGAAUGGGAAGGGAAUGGGGGAAUGAAGAAAGCUUGGUUAUUGGCUCCAAAAAUAUAGAUAGAAGGAGUAAGUUAUAAUGUUUGAUGUUUGAUAGGACAAUAGUUAGCGAUAAUUUAUUGUAUAUUUCAAAGUAAGUAGAAGAGCAUAUUUGUAAUGUUCCCAACACAAAGAAAUGAUAAAUGUUUGAGGUUACUGAUUUUGAUCAUUGCACACUUUAUGCAUAUAUCAAAAUAUUACAUAUACCCUAUAAAUAUGUACAAUUAUGUAUCCAUUAAAAAUAUUUACAAAAAAAAUUUGCAAAAGUGUAAAAUGCUG
RNAcentral lists this long non-coding RNA (1245 nucleotides) under Homo sapiens (human). RNAcentral describes it as "HSALNT0013499". Lineage: Eukaryota; Metazoa; Chordata; Mammalia; Primates; Hominidae. The record is from RNAcentral.